Molecule: long non-coding RNA, 606 nt
Organism: Ruditapes philippinarum (Manila clam)
Lineage: Eukaryota; Metazoa; Mollusca; Bivalvia; Venerida; Veneridae
Exons: 2
Source: RefSeq, a predicted model, not a curated record
CCUCAUGGUAUGUCUACAUGUUUAUCAGCUGAUAAAUAUCGACACUAAUUGGUGUGAAUUGUUGAAUGUGCACUGGAUAAUUGGUCUUUAUAUUCAAUAUGAAACAAUAACCUGCGGCAUCUUAAGAUUAUCGCCAAUCAUAUCAACAGCUUGGUUAUGAAAUGGACGACUUUACGAUACAGAAUCACAUAGCCCUCAAACCAAAUCUUUGGCAUUAACCAAGCAAGCAGAAGCAGCCCAUUGGAAUGUGGUUCUGAUGUCACUGUCAUGCCACUAACUUAGAUUUUAUGAAAACAUUGCUGACCAAAUUAGCCUGGAAAAUGUUAUUCUUAUAGCUACUGAGCUGCAAGCUUUUAUGAUCAGUUUUAAAGUGAUUAAAAUGUAGCUACCUAAAUAAAGUUGGAUAUACAUGUAGUUUAUGUUUUUUUCUAAAUAUCUCAUGCCUUUUUAAGGUGUUUCAUAUAUGAACUAAUGCUAUAAAUAAGUCUGACAAUUGAAUUCUGGUUAUUUUGCAGUACCAUUUGCCUUCUUGAAAAUAAAAUACAGGCACGCAAUUUUCGCCGCGAAAAAUUGGCUCAAAGAAAAAAUCUGCCAGUGCUAGCCCUG